RNAcentral lists this transfer RNA (64 nucleotides) under Rhabdopleura sp. NHMO H2136. RNAcentral's name for it is "tRNA-His". Lineage: Eukaryota; Metazoa; Hemichordata; Pterobranchia; Rhabdopleurida; Rhabdopleuridae. The record is from RNAcentral.
GUCUAGGUAGUUUAAGUUUAAAAAAUUUUAAGUUGUGGUCUUGAAGAUGAUUUUUCCUUAGAUG